GGAAUCCCUCAGGGAGCCCCAGGGGGGCAACCCCAGCUCCAAGGAUGGGCAUCGGACGUAGAAGAACCUCUCCUUCCAGUUGUGAAUAGAAGAGGGGACACCUUUCAGCAACCCCUUUCUACCGAACUGAGGAGAGAAGUACCAUCAGUCCUUUGUCGAGGGAUGACGUUUGAAGGUAUAGAAAUUCUUAAAUAAAGAAAGAGUCAGUCAAACUUCAGCUAAACUACAGAGGGAAAGAAAUCCUAUCAGAGCAGCGCUACAGAAAUUAAAGAAAUAUUUAAGA
This 283-nucleotide long non-coding RNA is filed under the name Elaeis guineensis (African oil palm). Its description in RNAcentral is "long non-coding RNA (EGUI_LNC004137)". Lineage: Eukaryota; Viridiplantae; Streptophyta; Magnoliopsida; Arecales; Arecaceae. The record is from RNAcentral.